Long non-coding RNA from Apteryx haastii (Great spotted kiwi), 1095 nucleotides. The record is from Ensembl. NCBI's taxonomy places the organism in Eukaryota, Metazoa, Chordata, Aves, Apterygiformes, Apterygidae.
AUGUGUCUUUGCCAACAGGUUGGCCAGCCUGGUAAGAAGGACUUUAAAUUAGGAAAGAUGAGGGAAAGGGAAAGUUAUAGAGACAGGGCAGUCAGCAAAACGCAGCUCAGGUCAGGAUGCCUCCAGCGGGUGCAUGCAGCCAGGGAAGUGCACACGGGACAUGGCUAUGGAGGAUCCUCUUGCACCCCUCCUGGGAAACCUGCAUGCUCAAUCACCUCACUGAAAUGCCUGUACACCAAUGCACGCAGCAUGGGGAACAAACAGGAAGAACUAGAGAUGUGUGUGCGGUCGCAGGGCCAUGAUCUCAUUGCCAUUACAGAGACAUGGUGGGAUAGCUCGCAUGACUGGAGUGCUGUCAUGGAUGGCUACGUGCUUUUUAGGAAAGACAGGCCAGGAAGACGAGGUGGUGGAGUUGCUCUUUAUGUGAGAGAGCAACUGGAAUGUAUCGAGCUGUGCCUAGGGGUGGAGGAAGAGCGAGUCGAGAGCUUAUGGGCAAAGAUUAAAGGGCAGGCUAGCAUGGGUGACACUGUUAUGGGUGUUUACUACAGGCCACCUGAUCAGGAAGAGGAAGUCGAUGAGGCCUUCUACAGACAGCUGGAAGUAGCCUCCCGAUCCCAGGCCCUGGUUCUCAUGGGGGACUUCAACCACCCUGAUAUCUGCUGGAGAGACAACACAGCUAGGCACAAGCAGUCCUGGAGGUUCCUGCAGAGCAUUGGUGACAACUUCUUGACACAGGUGGUGGAGGAGCCAACAAGGAGAGGUGUGCUGCUGGACCUCGUACUAACAAACAAAGAAGGACUGGUGGAAGAUGUGAAGGUCAGGGGCAGCCUUAGCUGCAGUGACCAUGAGAUGGUGGAGUUCAGGAUCCUGCAAGAAGGAGGCAGGGCAAUAAGCAGGAUUGCAACCCUGGAGUUCAGGAGAGCAAACUUUGGCCUCUUCAGGGAUCUACUUGGAGGAAUCCCAUGGGUUAGGGCCCUAGAAGGAAGGGGCGUUGAAGAGAGCUGGUUAAUAUUCAAACAUCACUUCCUCCAGGCUCAGGAGCGGUGCAUCCCUACGAGUAAGAAGACAAGCAAGGGGGGCAGGAGAUGUGGAUGA